RNAcentral lists this non-coding RNA (29 nucleotides) under Homo sapiens (human). Lineage: Eukaryota; Metazoa; Chordata; Mammalia; Primates; Hominidae. The record is from RNAcentral.
UAGAUAGGACCACUCAAAGACACCCUGUA